RNAcentral lists this transfer RNA (90 nucleotides) under Tichowtungia aerotolerans. Its description in RNAcentral is "Kiritimatiellaeota bacterium S-5007 tRNA-Ser". It matches the Rfam family "tRNA". Rfam says of the family: Transfer RNA (tRNA) molecules are approximately 80 nucleotides in length. Their secondary structure includes four short double-helical elements and three loops (D, anti-codon, and T loops). Further hydrogen bonds mediate the characteristic L-shaped molecular structure. tRNAs have two regions of fundamental functional importance: the anti-codon, which is responsible for specific mRNA codon recognition, and the 3' end, to which the tRNAs corresponding amino acid is attached (by aminoacyl-tRNA synthetases). tRNAs cope with the degeneracy of the genetic code in two manners: having more than one tRNA (with a specific anti-codon) for a particular amino acid; and 'wobble' base-pairing, i.e. permitting non-standard base-pairing at the 3rd anti-codon position. Lineage: Bacteria; Pseudomonadati; Kiritimatiellota; Tichowtungiia; Tichowtungiales; Tichowtungiaceae. The record is from RNAcentral.
GGAGGAGUGCCAGAGUGGUUGAAUGGGGCGGUCUCGAAAACCGUUGUGCUCGCGAGAGUACCGGGGGUUCGAAUCCCUCCUCCUCCGCCA